Molecule: long non-coding RNA, 241 nt
Filed under: Elaeis guineensis (African oil palm)
Lineage: Eukaryota; Viridiplantae; Streptophyta; Magnoliopsida; Arecales; Arecaceae
Description: long non-coding RNA (EGUI_LNC020069)
Source: RNAcentral
AUGGCGACGUUUGUAACCGUCUGGUAGUGGGCCGCCCAUGGUCAGAGGAAUUGAUUGCGAAGGAUAGUGGAGUAGACACGUGGCCAUCACCGCGGCUUGCCACGCGAAAUCUGUUACGUGGGGUGGAGCAGCGUCCGUUGUCGUGACUCGCCAGUGGAUGGGGGAAUCGCCUGGUAUCCGCCGCAGGAGGUGGAGCAGGUUCGUGGCCGUUAUUGUGGCCUACCAGGGGGUAGUGGAGCUG